Molecule: ribosomal RNA, 124 nt
Filed under: Pseudoalteromonas prydzensis
Lineage: Bacteria; Pseudomonadati; Pseudomonadota; Gammaproteobacteria; Alteromonadales; Pseudoalteromonadaceae
Description: partial 16S ribosomal RNA
Rfam family: Bacterial small subunit ribosomal RNA
Source: RNAcentral
CUACGGACCAAAGUGGGGGACCUUCGGGCCUCACGCCAAGAGAUUAGCCCAAGUGGGAUUAGCUAGUUGGUAAGGUAAUGGCUUACCAAGGCGACGAUCCCUAGCUGGUUUGAGAGGAUGAUCA